CGAACGCUGGCGGCGUGCUUAACACAUGCAAGUCGAACGGUGAAGCGCCUUCCUUUUUGGUGGGUGUGGAUGGGUGGCGAACGGGUGAGUAACACGUGAGUAACCUGCCCCCUUCUUCUGGAUAACCGCAUGAAAGUGUGGCUAAUACGGGAUAUUCUGGGUCUGUCGCAUGAUGGGUCUGGGAAAGAUAUUGUUUCGGUGGGGGAUGGGCUCGCGGCCUAUCAGCUUGUUGGUGGGGUGAUGGCCUACCAAGGCGGUGACGGGUAGCCGGCCUGCGAGGGUGGACGGUCACACUGGGACUGAGACACGGCCCAGACUCCUACGGGAGGCAGCAGUGGGGAAUAUUGCACAAUGGGCGCAAGCCUGAUGCAGCGACGCCGCGUGAGGGAUGGAGGCCUUCGGGUUGUGAACCUCUUUCGCCAGUGAAGCAGGCCUGCCUCGUUUGUGGGUGGGUUGACGGUAGCUGGAUAAGAAGCGCCGGCUAACUACGUG
RNAcentral lists this ribosomal RNA (492 nucleotides) under uncultured bacterium. RNAcentral describes it as "partial 16S ribosomal RNA". It matches the Rfam family "Bacterial small subunit ribosomal RNA", at positions 30 to 507 of the family's 1533-position model. The record is from RNAcentral.